ACUGCGGAAGGAUUAUU
Molecule: ribosomal RNA, 17 nt
Filed under: Cirsium monocephalum
Lineage: Eukaryota; Viridiplantae; Streptophyta; Magnoliopsida; Asterales; Asteraceae
Description: partial 18S ribosomal RNA
Source: RNAcentral